AGCGCAACCCGCGUUUGUGUGUUUAUAGUGUGUCACACAAUACCGCCGGUAUUAAGCCGGAGGAAGGUGCGGAUGACGUCAAGUCAGCAUGACCUUUAUAUCCAGGGCUACACACACGCUACAAUGGACAGUAACAACAGGUUGCCAAGCCGCGAGGCGGAGCCAAUCCUCUAAAGCUAGUCCUCAGUUCAGAUUGCAGGCUGCAACUCGCCUGCAUGAAGUUGGAGUUGCUAGUAACCGCAGGUCAGCUAUACUGCGGUGAAUACGUUCCCGGGGAUU
Molecule: ribosomal RNA, 279 nt
Filed under: uncultured Anaerolineaceae bacterium
Lineage: Bacteria; Bacillati; Chloroflexota; Anaerolineae; Anaerolineales; Anaerolineaceae
Description: partial 16S ribosomal RNA
Rfam family: Bacterial small subunit ribosomal RNA
Source: RNAcentral